AACCCUCCUCCCGGCGAUGGCGACGACGGCUGCGGCGUACGGCUGCCCGGCGGCGGCGGCGGCGGCGCCGUUCGCGGCCAGCGUCUCCCGCCGCCGCGCGCCCCUUUCCUGCGUCUCGCUCGCUUCCUCCUCCUCCCGCAGGCGCACGGCGGAGUUUCCCGGGUUGAGGGUUUCGUGUCUCCGUAGGAUACUGGCUGUCUCUGCGUGCUCCGGGGAGGCUGAUUCGGACGCGGGGUCUGCGCCGGCGGAAAGCACUUUUGAUCUAAAUCUUCCAAGAAGAAGCUUACUUGUUCAAUUUACAUGCAAUGCAUGUGGAGAAAGGACCAAGCGGUUGAUAAAUAGGGUUGCCUAUGAAAGAGGAACAAUAUUUCUUCAGUGUGCAGGGUGCCAGGUGUACCACAAAUUUGUUGAUAAUCUUGGUCUAGUUGUUGAGUAUGAUCUACGAGAAGAAAAUGGGAUGAACACCGAUACUGAAACUUGAUCUGUUAUGAGAAAGCAUUUUGCUCUAGAGUGCAGUCGAUAUCUUCUAUAACUAGGAUUGACCUGUUGGUCAUCCCGAUGAGCAACCGUCGAAGGGUUGAGUUCCAGUUGACCUCAGUCAGCUCGAGAUCAUAUACGUCGAACUUGAGGUAAUUGGCCAUGGCUGCAAUCAAGCUGGACUUGCCAGUUCCAGGUGGGCCAUACAGAAGGUCGAGGGGUGGUGGAGGUCGAUGGCGAACCACGACUCACCUUCGUUCAUGUAGAUCUUCAGCGUCCUGUCCUGAUCCUUGAUCUUCUUUGCAGUGGCCAGGAUGUGAGGGAGGUAAGAGUUGAGGGCCUUGUCCUUGUGCUUCUUGUGGAAGCUCAUCUCGAAGGACCGGACCUCGAGCCGGUA
Molecule: RNA transcript, 874 nt
Organism: Oryza sativa Japonica Group (Japanese rice)
Lineage: Eukaryota; Viridiplantae; Streptophyta; Magnoliopsida; Poales; Poaceae
Source: RefSeq, a predicted model, not a curated record